This 253-nucleotide ribosomal RNA is filed under the name uncultured bacterium. RNAcentral's name for it is "partial 16S ribosomal RNA". It matches the Rfam family "Bacterial small subunit ribosomal RNA", at positions 524 to 776 of the family's 1533-position model. The record is from RNAcentral.
UACGGAGGAUCCAAGCGUUAUCCGGAUUUAUUGGGUUUAAAGGGUGCGUAGGUGGUUCUUUAAGUCAGGGGUGAAAGACGGCAGCUUAACUGUCGCAGUGCCUUUGAUACUGAAGAACUUGAAUGAACUAGAGGUAGGCGGAAUGUGACAAGUAGCGGUGAAGUGCAUAGAUAUGUCACAGGACACCAAUCGCGAAGGCAGCUUACUAUGGUUUGAUCGACACUGAGGCACGAAAGCGUGGGGAUCAAACAGG